RNAcentral lists this ribosomal RNA (492 nucleotides) under uncultured bacterium. Its description in RNAcentral is "partial 16S ribosomal RNA". It matches the Rfam family "Bacterial small subunit ribosomal RNA", at positions 29 to 507 of the family's 1533-position model. The record is from RNAcentral.
AGUGAACGCUGGCGGUAGGCCUAACACAUGCAAGUCGAACGGCAGCACAGUAAGAGCUUGCUCUUACGGGUGGCGAGUGGCGGACGGGUGAGGAAUACAUCGGCAUCUACUUUUUCGCGGGGGAUAACGUAGGGAAACUUACGCCAUUACCGCAUACGACCUACGGGUGAAAGCAUGGGAUCUUCGGACCUUGCGCGAUUGAAUGAGCCGAUGUCGGAUUAGCUAGUUGGCGGGGUAAAGGCCCACCAAGGCGACGAUCCGUAGCUGGUCUGAGAGGAUGAUCAGCCACACUGGAACUGAGACACGGUCCAGACUCCUACGGGAGGCAGCAGUGGGGAAUAUUGGACAAUGGGCGCAAGCCUGAUCCAGCCAUACCGCGUGUGUGAAGAAGGCCUUCGGGUUGUAAAGCCCUUUUGUUGGGAAAGAAAAGCAGCGUGUUAAUACCACGCUGUUCUGACGGUACCCAAAGAAUAAGCACCGGCUAACUUCGUG